RNAcentral lists this ribosomal RNA (492 nucleotides) under uncultured bacterium. RNAcentral's name for it is "partial 16S ribosomal RNA". It matches the Rfam family "Bacterial small subunit ribosomal RNA", at positions 29 to 507 of the family's 1533-position model. The record is from RNAcentral.
AGUGAACGCUGGCGGUAGGCCUAACACAUGCAAGUCGAACGGCAGCACAGUAAGAGCUUGCUCUUACGGGUGGCGAGUGGCGGACGGGUGAGGAAUACAUCGGAAUCUACUUUUUCGUGGGGGAUAACGUAGGGAAACUUACGCUAAUACCGCAUACGACCUACGGGUGAAAGCAGGGGAUCUUCGGACCUUGCGCGAUUGAAUGAGCCGAUGCCGGAUUAGCUAGUUGGCGGGGUAAAGGCCCACCAAGGCGACGAUCCGUAGCUGGUCUGAGAGGAUGAUCAGCCACACUGGAACUGAGACACGGUCCAGACUCCUACGGGAGGCAGCAGUGGGGAAUAUUGGACAAUGGGCGCAAGCCUGAUCCAGCCAUACCGCGUGGGUGAAGAAGGCCUUCGGGUUGUAAAGCCCUUUUGUUCGGAAAGAAAAGCAGCAGGUUAAUACCCCGCUGUUCUGACGGUACCCAAAGAAUAAGCACCGGCUAACUUCGUG